GUGCAGCCCACAGGCCCCCAGCAGCCCAUGAACUCCAGACUCUGACCACAAGGCCAGUCUGGAGUGAUGUGUGUGGGCAGAGUGAAGGGGCAGGAGGGGAGCAGAGUAUGGAUGCAUAGAACAAGAAAGAACAAGGACACUGCAGUCCCACUGCCCUGGGAGCCAGCCCUAGCUUCAAGGCUCCCGGUGGGGAGCUCACAGAACAUCGAUAGAAGAUCCUAGAAGAACAGCAGCCCAUGGCAGGUGCUUUUGUUUCCUUGGGUUUGAAGGAGGCUCCACAGACAGAGACCAGAGGAAGCUGAGGCUUGGAAGCCACAGGACCCCGUGGAAGGAGGGCAUCCCCCCAUCCUCCUCGUUCUUUGUCCUCACUAUUUAAAGUCCAAGGUCAAGCUGGGUGCGAGACAGGUAACCAACCCUCUGAGUAAAGAGAUCGCACAACAGGCAGGGCCCAGGCCUGGCACGGUGGUUCAUUCCUGUAAUCCCAACACAUUGGGAGGCUGAAGCGGUCGGAUCACUUGAGGUCAGGAGUUCGAGAACAACCUGGCCAACAUGCGGCCGAGAUCGCAGGUCUCUACAAUGACUCGGAGCCACCCCGGAAGACCAUGCGCAGAGGGGUGCUGAUGACCCUGCUGCAGCAGUCGGCCAUGACCCUGCCCCUGUGGAUCGGGAAGCCCGGUGACAAGUAUGAGGUAGAUGACAUCGAUGAAGAAGGCAAAGAGUGAGUGUCCAGGCCAGGGCCAGGCACGGAGCCUGGGGGCAGCCUAACGGCUGGGAAGGAGCAUCCCCAGCCAGCCACAGGUUGACACAAGUCCCUCUACAGCCAGGAGACACACCCUGAGCUGACGCUGGAUCAUCCCGCUGCCCCAGUGGAAGGCCAACCCCGAGAUGGACACGGAGGCCUUAUUUGGGCCAG
Molecule: long non-coding RNA, 913 nt
Organism: Cercocebus atys (sooty mangabey)
Lineage: Eukaryota; Metazoa; Chordata; Mammalia; Primates; Cercopithecidae
Exons: 4
Source: RefSeq, a predicted model, not a curated record